This 1361-nucleotide ribosomal RNA is filed under the name uncultured prokaryote. RNAcentral's name for it is "partial 16S ribosomal RNA". It matches the Rfam family "Bacterial small subunit ribosomal RNA", at positions 29 to 1377 of the family's 1533-position model. The record is from RNAcentral.
ACGAACGCUGGCGGCGCGCCUAACACAUGCAAGUCGAGCGAGAACCAGGGCUUCGGCCCUGGGGACAGCGGCGAACGGGUGAGUAACACGUGGAUAACCUGCCCUCGGCACCGGAAUAGCCCGAGGAAACUCGGAUUAAUGCCGGAUGGCCCCAUAUCCCUGCGGGGAACGUGGGAAAAGGUAGCUUAGGCUUCUAGCCGAGGAUGGGCCCGCGCCCGAUUAGCUUGUUGGUGAGGUAAUGGCUCACCAAGGCUACGAUCGGUAGCUGGUCUGAGAGGACGAUCAGCCACACUGGGACUGAGACACGGCCCAGACUCCUACGGGAGGCAGCAGUGGGGAAUCUUGCGCAAUGGGCGAAAGCCUGACGCAGCGACGCCGCGUGCGGGAGGAAGGCCUUAGGGUUGUAAACCGCUUUCAGGAGGGACGAAGCCACUCGGGUUAAUAGCCCAGAGGGUGACGGUACCUCCAGAAGAAGCCCCGGCUAACUACGUGCCAGCAGCCGCGGUAAUACGGAGGGGGCAAGCGUUGUUCGGAAUUACUGGGCGUAAAGAGCGUGUAGGCGGCCAGGUAGGUCGGUUGUGAAAACUGGAGGCUCAACCUUCAGAGGUCGACCGAAACCAUCUGGCUAGAGUCCGGGAGAGGAGAGUGGAAUUCCUGGUGUAGCGGUGAAAUGCGCAGAUAUCAGGAAGAACACCCGUGGCGAAAGCGGCUCUCUGGAACGGUACUGACGCUGAGACGCGAAAGCAUGGGGAGCAAACAGGAUUAGAUACCCUGGUAGUCCACGCCGUAAACGAUGGGCGCUAGGUGUGGGAGGUGUCGACUCCUUCCGUGCCGAAGCUAACGCAUUAAGCGCCCCGCCUGGGGAGUACGGCCGCAAGGCUAAAACUCAAAGGAAUUUACGGGGGCCCGCACAAGCGGCGGAGCAUGCGGCUUAAUUCGAUGCAACGCGAAGAACCUUACCUGGGUUUGACAUAUGGGGAAAACUGGCAGAGAUGUCAGGUCCGCAAGGGCCCCAUACAGGUGGUGCAUGGCUGUCGUCAGCUCGUGUCGUGAGAUGUUGGGUUAAGUCCCGCAACGAGCGCAACCCUCGUCCUAUGUUGCCAGCGGAUAACGCCGGGGACUCAUAGGAGACUGCCGGGGUCAACUCGGAGGAAGGUGGGGAUGACGUCAAGUCAUCAUGCCCCUUAUGUCUAGGGCUGCACGCAUGCUACAAUGGCUGGUACAGAGGGCUGCGAUACCGCAAGGUGGAGCGAAUCCCACAAAGCCAGCCUCAGUUCGGAUUGGGGUCUGCAACUCGACCCCAUGAAGUCGGAGUCGCUAGUAAUCGCAGAUCAGCAACGCUGCGGUGAAUACGUUCCCGG